GGCGGUGUGGCUCAGUGGUAGAGUGCUCACCUGUCACAUGCAAGAAUCUGAGUUCAAUUCUCAGCACCACAU
RNAcentral lists this transfer RNA (72 nucleotides) under Marmota marmota marmota (Alpine marmot). It matches the Rfam family "tRNA". Rfam says of the family: Transfer RNA (tRNA) molecules are approximately 80 nucleotides in length. Their secondary structure includes four short double-helical elements and three loops (D, anti-codon, and T loops). Further hydrogen bonds mediate the characteristic L-shaped molecular structure. tRNAs have two regions of fundamental functional importance: the anti-codon, which is responsible for specific mRNA codon recognition, and the 3' end, to which the tRNAs corresponding amino acid is attached (by aminoacyl-tRNA synthetases). tRNAs cope with the degeneracy of the genetic code in two manners: having more than one tRNA (with a specific anti-codon) for a particular amino acid; and 'wobble' base-pairing, i.e. permitting non-standard base-pairing at the 3rd anti-codon position. RNAcentral also lists the same sequence under 1 other name. The record is from Rfam by way of RNAcentral. Lineage: Eukaryota; Metazoa; Chordata; Mammalia; Rodentia; Sciuridae.